RNAcentral lists this ribosomal RNA (539 nucleotides) under uncultured bacterium. Its description in RNAcentral is "bacterial SSU rRNA". It matches the Rfam family "Bacterial small subunit ribosomal RNA", at positions 8 to 526 of the family's 1533-position model. The record is from RNAcentral.
AGAGUUUGAUCCUGGCUCAGAAUCAACGCUGGCGGCGUGCCUAACACAUGCAAGUCGAACGCGAAAGCCCCGCAAGGGGUAAGUAGAGUGGCAAACGGGUGAGUAACACGUGGGUGACCUGCCUUCGAGUGGGGGAUAACGUCCCGAAAGGGACGCUAAUACCGCAUGACAUCCUGCUUUUGGAAAAGCGGAGAUCAAAGCUGGGGAUCGUAAGACCUGGCGCUUGAAGAGGGGCCCGCGCCUGAUUAGCUAGUUGGUGGGGUAACGGCCUACCAAGGCGACGAUCAGUAUCCGGCCUGAGAGGGCGGACGGACACACUGGGACUGAGACACGGCCCAGACUCCUACGGGAGGCAGCAGUGGGGAAUUGUUCGCAAUGGGCGCAAGCCUGACGACGCAACGCCGCGUGGAGGACGAAGAUCUUCGGGUCGUAAACUCCUGUCGAGUGGGAAGAACGCUUCGGGGGCGAAUAUCCUCCGGAAUUGACGGUACCACUAAAGGAAGCCCCGGCUAACUCCGUGCCAGCAGCCGCGGUAAUAC